AUUCUGACAGGUUCAAGGUUGAUUCAGCCUUCCAUCCUUCUGUGGUUGGUAAAAUGAGGACCCAGAUUAUUGGGGCAAGAUGCUGACUCCAUAAACUGCUUAGAGAAGCUGUAGAGCACUACGAAGCCGUAUAUAAGUCUACCUGCUAUUGCUA
Pseudonaja textilis is the source of this 154-nucleotide non-coding RNA. The record is from RefSeq and is a predicted model, not a curated record. Lineage: Eukaryota; Metazoa; Chordata; Lepidosauria; Squamata; Elapidae.